This 494-nucleotide ribosomal RNA is filed under the name uncultured bacterium. RNAcentral's name for it is "partial 16S ribosomal RNA". It matches the Rfam family "Bacterial small subunit ribosomal RNA", at positions 28 to 507 of the family's 1533-position model. The record is from RNAcentral.
GACGAACGCUGACGGCGUGCUUAACACAUGCAAGUCGAACGGUCAGGCGCCUUCCUUUUUGGUGGGUGUUUAUGAGCGGCGAACGGGGGAGUAACACGUUAGUAACCUGACCCCUUCUGCUUGAUAACCGCAUGAAAGUGUGGCUAAUACGUGAUAUUCUGAGUCUGUCGCAUGAUUAGUCUGGGACAGAUUUUGUUUCGGUUGGGGAUGGGCUCGCGGCCUAUCAGCUUGUUGGUGGGGUGAUGGCCUACCAAGGCGAGGAGGGGUAGCCGGCAUGAGAGGGUGGGCGGCGCCACAGGUACUGCGAGAUCGAGCCGACUACGAAGGGAGGCAGCAGGGAGGAAUAUUGAACGGUGGGAGGAAGCCUGAUGCAGCGACGCCGCGUGAGUGAUGGAGGCCUUCGGGUUGUGAACCUCUAUCGCGAGUGAAGCAGGCCUGCAUCGUUUGUGGGUGGGUUGACGGUAGCUGGAUAAGAAGCGCCGGCUAACUACGUG